Molecule: unclassified non-coding RNA, 382 nt
Filed under: Hevea brasiliensis (rubber tree)
Lineage: Eukaryota; Viridiplantae; Streptophyta; Magnoliopsida; Malpighiales; Euphorbiaceae
Source: RNAcentral
GACAGGGAAGACAUCAAGAUGCUGGUCAAUAAAUGGUGGGAUAUUUACGAUGACGAGUCUUUGGACUACAAGAGCACUGUGGCUGCUGCUGGGGGAACUGAAGGGGGGCUGCAACCAUUCUUGGCUGCUGUCGGAGGCUGGUGUUGCUCACUACAUUAACGCCCCAUCUGCUGCCUAGGCCUAAGGCUAUUAGUAGUAGAAACAAUUUGUAUAUUGAAAAGAAACGCUUUAUUUUUUAUUAGGUGAGAAUAUUUUUAUUUUUACGAGUCCCCCAUGUAUUAGAAUUGGGGUGAUUUUCUCUCCUGUGAGGACCUUUUGAUGUUGUUGGUUUUCUUAAUUAUUUUGCAACAUUAUUAAAGUGUUUUUACUAUAAAAAAAAAAA